Molecule: long non-coding RNA, 1319 nt
Organism: Asparagus officinalis (garden asparagus)
Lineage: Eukaryota; Viridiplantae; Streptophyta; Magnoliopsida; Asparagales; Asparagaceae
Exons: 2
Source: RefSeq, a predicted model, not a curated record
UUGUAUUCAUAGUAACAGUAUGCUCUAAAUUUAGGAAAGUAUCAAGAGGACCAAAGUUUAAGACAUGAAAUGUUCAUAAAAAAGAAAAUUUCUCUCUGAAAUCCCAAAGCAUCAUCAUGGCCAUUAGACCCCUAUAUAGAGCGCUAAAAGCGUCGCCCUCUAACCACGCCUCGCGUAAAAAUUCCCAAACCCAAAACCCCCAAAUCUCCAUCAUUUUCAGUCCCCACAUCGGAAAAUUCUACCCCAAAUCUCCACCUACAUCAUCAACACCAUCAUCCAUGUCUCCGUCUUCUCCUUAACCCUCGAUAGCCGGUCGGAUCCAACCAAGAUCAUAAAUCCAGAUGCAAAUCUUUCAUCGACUUCGUGCUCCAUCUCAACGAUUGCCUCAAUGAUCCAGUCGCCAUGCUCACCGCCCUCUCCAGCUCGAACCCAUUAAACCCUAGAGAAUGCGGUAUCUUAAUUUGAAGAAGGGACAUUAAUUCUCUACUUUGAAACAGCUCGCAGAGUUGCAAGUGGAAGAACUAUACAACUGCUGACACUAUUUGACAUUGUUUUUAAUAUGAAAGUAGAAUGUCAUGCUCUUCAUUAGCCUCACCUUACUUGCAUGUGUUGGAAAAAGGGGUGUAGACCCAUACCUUAUCCCCAUCGACGGCGACCUCCGGCGAGGUCAAACAGCGAAGAUAAGCUCAAGCAAGCUUGCAGAGGGCUUCAGGCGAACUCGAAAGACUGCAGGCAAGGUCGAACGUUUGAGGCAUAGGCGAGCUCAAAUCUGAGGUGUAGGCGAGCUCGAUGUUGGGGCUUGCUGCAGGCGAAGAGAGAGGAGUCUUUGACAGGCGAGCUCGAGCGGUCUCUCCGCAGGAGAAGUCGAGACCCUCUGCAGGCGAGGAUGAAGCUACAGGCGGGGUUUGGCGACCUACAGGCGAGCUUAGAGUUGGGGCAAAGGCGAGGUUUGGCUGGCGAAUCACAGGCGAGCAUUGAGCAGGCAAACUCGAGCGUUUUGGGGAUCUCGCCUGCUACGGAGAGAAAGCUCGCAUGCGCGUUGGGUUGGAUCCAGCUGGAUCCCACUCGUUCUUGGCCCUAGGGUUUCCCUAUAAAUAGGGAAACCUAGAUCACGAAAGAAGUGCGCUCUCUCUCUCUCUCUUCUAUUUUUUCUUCUCAGCGACUUCUUGGCGGCGAUUGAGCACAAGAUUUUCAAGUUCAAAAUCUCAGUUAUUGGAGAGGAUUAAUUCCUGUAGCGAUUUUGUGAGAGAGGAGAGAUUUUACUGUUGUAAAAUCUCGCGCCUUUUGUAAGAGCAACAAAUAAUUUUUCUGUUUGCUUC